Molecule: ribosomal RNA, 217 nt
Filed under: uncultured bacterium
Lineage: Bacteria
Description: partial 16S ribosomal RNA
Rfam family: Bacterial small subunit ribosomal RNA
Source: RNAcentral
UACGUGAGGUGCAAGCGUUAAUCGGAAUUACUGGGCGUAAAGCGUGCGCAGGCGGUUAUGUAAGACAGAUGUGAAAGCCCCGGGCUUAACUUGGGAAUUGCGCUCGAAACUACGUGGCUGGAGUGUGGCAGAGGAAGGUGGAAUUCCAGGUGUAGCGGUGAAAUGCGUAGAGAUCUGGAGGAACACCGAUGGCGAAGGCAGCCUUCUGGGCCAACAC